Molecule: ribosomal RNA, 497 nt
Filed under: uncultured bacterium
Lineage: Bacteria
Description: partial 16S ribosomal RNA
Rfam family: Bacterial small subunit ribosomal RNA
Source: RNAcentral
GAUGAACGCUGGCGGCGUGCCUAAUACAUGCAAGUCGAGCGAACAGACGAGGAGCUUGCUCCUCUGACGUUAGCGGCGGACGGGUGAGUAACACGUGGAUAACCUACCUAUAAGACUGGGAUAACUUCGGGAAACCGGAGCUAAUACCGGAUAAUAUAUUGAACCGCAUGGUUCAAUAGUGAAAGACGGUUUUGCUGUCACUUAUAGAUGGAUCCGCGCCGCAUUAGCUAGUUGGUAAGGUAACGGCUUACCAAGGCGACGAUGCGUAGCCGACCUGAGAGGGUGAUCGGCCACACUAGAACUGAGACACGGUCCAGACUCCUACGGGAGGCAGCAGUAGGAAAUCUUCCGCAAUGGGCGAAAGCCUGACGGAGCAACGCCGCGUGAGUGAUGAAGGUCUUCGGAUCGUAAAACUCUGUUAUUAGGGAAGAACAAAUGUGUAAGUAACUAUGCACGUCUUGACGGUACCUAAUCAGAAAGCCACGGCUAACUACGUG